AACGAACGCUGGCGGCAGGCCUAACACAUGCAAGUCGAGCGAAGCCUUCGGGCUUAGCGGCGGACGGGUGAGUAACGCGUGGGAACGUGCCCUUUGCUACGGAAUAGCCCCGGGAAACUGGGAGUAAUACCGUAUGUGCCCUUCGGGGGAAAGAUUUAUCGGCAAAGGAUCGGCCCGCGUUGGAUUAGGUAGUUGGUGGGGUAAUGGCCUACCAAGCCGACGAUCCAUAGCUGGUUUGAGAGGAUGAUCAGCCACACUGGGACUGAGACACGGCCCAAACUCCCACGGGAGGCAGCAGUGGGGAAUCUUAGACAAUGGUGGAAACCCUGAUCUAGCCAUGCCGCGUGAUCGAUGAAGGCCUUAGGGUUGUAAAGAUCUUUCAGUGGGGAAGAUAAUGACUGUACCCACAGAAGAAGCCCCGGCUAACUCCGUGCCAGCCGCCGCGGUAA
Molecule: ribosomal RNA, 449 nt
Filed under: uncultured bacterium
Lineage: Bacteria
Description: partial 16S ribosomal RNA
Rfam family: Bacterial small subunit ribosomal RNA
Source: RNAcentral